CGCGUGGGAACCUGCCCCUGGGUACGGGACAACGUCUGGAAACGGGCGCUAAUACCGUAUACGUCCUUCGGGAGAAAGAUUUAUCGCCCUGGGAGGGGCCCGCGUCCGAUUAGCUUGUUGGUGGGGUAAUGGCCUACCAAGGCGACGAUCGGUAGCUGGUCUGAGAGGAUGAUCAGCCACACUGGGACUGAGACACGGCCCAGACUCCUGCGGGAGGCAGCAGUGGGGAAUAUUGGACAAUGGGGGCAACCCUGAUCCAGCAAUGCCGCGUGUGUGAUGAAGGCCUUAGGGUUGUAAAGCACUUUCACUGGUGAAGAUGAUGACGGUAUCCAGAGAAGAAGCCCCGGCUAACUCCGUGCCAGCAGCCGCGGUAAUACGGAGGGGGCAAGCGUUGUUCGGAAUUACUGGGCGUAAAGGGCGUGCAGGCUGUGGUUUAAGUUGGGCGUGAAAGCCCGGGGCUCAACCCCGGAAUUGCGCUUGAUACUGGAUCA
Molecule: ribosomal RNA, 491 nt
Filed under: uncultured bacterium
Lineage: Bacteria
Description: bacterial SSU rRNA
Rfam family: Bacterial small subunit ribosomal RNA
Source: RNAcentral